Molecule: long non-coding RNA, 200 nt
Organism: Vicia villosa (hairy vetch)
Lineage: Eukaryota; Viridiplantae; Streptophyta; Magnoliopsida; Fabales; Fabaceae
Exons: 3
Source: RefSeq, a predicted model, not a curated record
UACUUUUAUGCAUGAAAGGAGAAAAGGUGUGAUUGUUUGCAAUGAUCAAGAUGGGGAUGAUUUUGUCAUUACAGCUCAUGUCCCUCUUAACAAUAUGUUUGGUUAUUCUACAGUUCUUUGUUCCUUGACACAGGGAAAAGGUGAGUUCACCUGUGGUUCCUCAUUAGGAGAAAACAUUAGAGUAACACUGAUGCAAUUUU